Molecule: long non-coding RNA, 150 nt
Organism: Cervus elaphus (red deer)
Lineage: Eukaryota; Metazoa; Chordata; Mammalia; Artiodactyla; Cervidae
Exons: 3
Source: RefSeq, a predicted model, not a curated record
GAGAAUUUUGAGCUUGACCUAGCUAGCGUGUGAAAAGAGUGGAAUUGUGCAGUACUUUGAACAUUCUUUGGCAUCACCUUUCUUAAGGAUUGGAAUGAAAACUGACCUUUCCCAGUCCUGUGGCCACUGCUGAGUUUUCCAUAUUUGCUG